Phellopilus nigrolimitatus is the source of this 89-nucleotide non-coding RNA. The record is from the annotation of a GenBank genome assembly. NCBI's taxonomy places the organism in Eukaryota, Fungi, Basidiomycota, Agaricomycetes, Hymenochaetales, Hymenochaetaceae.
GCAUUAAUGGGGUAGUGGUAACCUGGGUCGUUGCCAUGAAGGAGAACAAAGAUGUCGACCCGCCGGGGGUUCGAUUCCCUCUUAAUGCA